Molecule: long non-coding RNA, 676 nt
Organism: Cercocebus atys (sooty mangabey)
Lineage: Eukaryota; Metazoa; Chordata; Mammalia; Primates; Cercopithecidae
Exons: 3
Source: RefSeq, a predicted model, not a curated record
UCGCACCUGAACUCAACACCCGCCGGCCCAGCGGGAGGGCUGGGACCGCGCGCCCUCGCCUCCAGGCCAGACCCCCGCGAGGCGCUGCAGUAAUGAGGGCUGAGUGCGGGGCGGGGCGCCGCCGGGGGAGGCGGCGAGGGUGACGACCUGUGGCAGGCACCCCUCUCUCCUACUGGUCGCGGCCAGUGGCCGACUCUCCCGUCCUCCCCCUGCCUCGGCCUAGACCCCUAAGCAGGCAGGGAGCCCGCCUGCCAGCUGGAGGGGCGGGGGUCCCAUCGCUGCUGUGGAGUCCAAAGUGUGAGCCUUAUCUCUCAGAGGGCCGGCUGGCCUGCCUGGUGGAAGCAACCCAAGAGGCAGAUGCUACCGGUAUCAUCCCACUUAGUUGGUGCAAGACUGAAUCUCGGAGGUAAAAUAGCUUCACCAAGGUCACAAAGCCAGGAUGUGGAAGAGCUGGCUCAAUUCCUGUAUCUAACAAGGCUUUAGAGAGGACAUUUGGUCCAGCCGCCAACUGCCAAACAGGAGACCACUGCUGUCUCUCUCCUUCUUGGCUUGCGUUCUUUGCUGCAUCAAGCUGUGUUGUUGGAGGAACAGUGCGAGGCCUCUGGCCGGUAGUCAACAAGGAACUGAGAGCCUCCGUCUAGCAUCUGGUGAAGAACUGAACCCAUCAAAGGCCGGU